UAAGCAUAUCAAUAAGCGGAGGAAAAGAAACCAACAGGGAUUGCCUCAGUAACGGCGAGUGAAGCGGCAACAGCUCAAAUUUGAAAUCUGGCCCCAGGCCCGAGUUGUAAUUUGCAGAGGAUGCUUUUGGCGCGGUGCCUUCCGAGUUCCCUGGAACGGGACGCCAUAGAGGGUGAGAGCCCCGUCUGGUUGGACACCAAGCCUCUGUAAAGCUCCUUCGACGAGUCGAGUAGUUUGGGAAUGCUGCUCAAAAUGGGAGGUAUAUGUCUUCUAAAGCUAAAUACCGGCCAGAGACCGAUAGCGCACAAGUAGAGUGAUCGAAAGAUGAAAAGCACUUUGAAAAGAGAGUUAAAUAGCACGUGAAAUUGUUAAAAGGGAAGCGUUUAUGACCAGACUUGGGCCGGUUAAUCAUCCAGCGUUCUCGCUGGUGCACUUUGCCGGUCCAGGCCAGCAUCAGUUCGUCGCGGGGGAUAAAGGCGUCGGGAAUGUGGCUCCUCGGAGUGUUAUAGCCCUUCGCGCAAUACCCUGCGGUGGACUGAGGUUCGCGCUCUGCAAGGAUGCUGGCGUAAUGGUCAUCAACGACCCGUCUUGAAACACGGACCAAGGAGUCGUCUUCGUAUGCGAGUGUUCGGGUGUAAAACCCCUACGCGUAAUGAAAGUGAACGCAGGUGAGAGCUUCGGCGCAUCAUCGACCGAUCCUGAUGUUCUCGGAUGGAUUUGAGUAAGAGCAUACGGGGCCGGACCCGAAAGAAGGUGAACUAUGCCUGUAUAGGGUGAAGCCAGAGGAAACUCUGGUGGAGGCUCGCAGCGGUUCUGACGUGCAAAUCGAUCGUCAAAUAUGGGCAUGGGGGCGAAAGACUAAUCGAAC
RNAcentral lists this ribosomal RNA (868 nucleotides) under Stachybotrys echinatus. Its description in RNAcentral is "eukaryotic LSU rRNA". It matches the Rfam family "Eukaryotic large subunit ribosomal RNA", at positions 35 to 940 of the family's 3401-position model. The record is from RNAcentral. Lineage: Eukaryota; Fungi; Ascomycota; Sordariomycetes; Hypocreales; Stachybotryaceae.